GGGCCCGCACAAGCGGUGGAGCAUGUGGUUUAAUUCGAUGCAACGCGAAAAACCUUACCAGGCCUUGACAUCCAGAGAACUUACCAGAGAUGGUUCGGUGCCUUCGGGAACUCUGUGACAGGUGUUGCAUGGCUGUCGUCAGCUCGUGUCGUGAGAUGUUGGGUUAAGUCCCGUAACGAGCGCAACCCUUAUCCUUACUUGCCAGCACGUAAUGGUGGGAACUUUAAGGAGACUGCCGGUGACAAACCGGAGGAAGGAGAGGAUGAUGUCAAGUCAUCAUGGCCCUUACGGCCUGGGCUACACACGUGCUACAAUGGGAAGUACAGAGAGCAGCCACUACGCGAGUAGGAGCG
RNAcentral lists this ribosomal RNA (353 nucleotides) under uncultured bacterium. RNAcentral describes it as "bacterial SSU rRNA". It matches the Rfam family "Bacterial small subunit ribosomal RNA", at positions 917 to 1269 of the family's 1533-position model. The record is from RNAcentral.